AAACGUAGGGGGCAAGCGUUGUCCGGAAUUAUUGGGCGUAAAGGGCGUGUAGGCGGCUCGUGAAGUCAGGAGUGAAGCCCGGGGCUCAACCCCGGGACUGCUUUUGAAACCAGCGGGCUUGAGUACAGGAGAGGGAAGUGGAAUUCCCAGUGUAGCGGUGAAAUGCGUAGAUAUUGGGAGGAACACCAGUGGCGAAAGCGGCUUCCUGGCCUGUAACUGACGCUGAGGCGCGAAAGCGUGGGGAGC
Molecule: ribosomal RNA, 246 nt
Filed under: uncultured bacterium
Lineage: Bacteria
Description: partial 16S ribosomal RNA
Rfam family: Bacterial small subunit ribosomal RNA
Source: RNAcentral